ACAUGCCGUGGAGACACAAAGGAUUGCCAGGCAUUCAGCCUCAUUUGCAUUGUCUGGAGAAGAAUCAGCAUUGCUAGUGCAAGCAUAUUCUUUAAUAAAAAUGAAAAAAAGAAUAUUUUGUGUUUGACAGAUAUGCUCUUUAGGAUCAAAAGGAAGACCCUGAAGAAAAGCUGAGGAUAGUGGCUAAACCCAAAACAAGAGAUUAAAGGAGAAUAGAGGCAGAAAAGUCACCCAUACCCACUCCUUGGGGAGAAGAGAUGAAACCCUCCUUGAUGAGAAGAGAAGCUAUGACCUUAGAAGUAUUAUAGGCCAUAAAAUCAAAGAACUGGCCAUUAGAGGUUCCCAGAGAGAGGACUGGAGUCCGCUUUAGGAACUGUUGAGCAUCUUCUCCACCCAACCAGGACAAGAAAGUCUAGUGGAAGCCCACCAAGAUUUGCAGUUCAUCUCUUACCCAUCCAAUGUUGAAGAAUCUCAGAGCCCCGUUACUCUUUCUUGUAGUUUGCCAACUGAAGCCACUCCUGUACACUUAAAUUACCCAACAAAAGGAGAACUUGCUUUUCCUCCAAUAUUCUGCUUAUCUCCAUUCAAGUACCUCACCUGAACUACCCACAUCUUUUUAGUGACUAUGCUUACUCUGGUUCAGGAUGAAAGAUGGGAGAAUGAGAUGAACUGUCCCUUUAGUAGUCUAAAUGAGGAUGAAGGGAAGACCAGCACUGUCCCUUGGCUAGAACAGUGGCAAAACCCAUUCAUAUUUCAAAUGUGUCUGUAAGAUUUUCUCAUUCAUUACUCAGGCCUGACCUCAAAAACUAUGUCUAUAGUAAAGUAAAAAAUUGCCCAUGCACUGCUCUUUCCUAGUCUUGUGAGACAAAAUUAUAUGUGCUUAUGUGAAAGAUAUUAGAUAAAGACAGAGGUAGAAAGAUAAAGAAAAUAUGUAUAUUUUAAAAUAAAUGUUCAUAAUUAUGGUAUAUUUAAGCAAAUUGCUAAUUAAUACACAGUAGAUGUGACCUCAGUUAAAUCUCUUAACUAAAAUGAGACUGCUUCCUUAUUUUAUAAUUGUUGAGGUUGUGAGGUUUGCGGGACAAGACGUAAUAAGCUGCAAGAUCCUUUACUGUUUAAAAUUCUCCAUCUAUGAUUCAGAAGGACA
Molecule: long non-coding RNA, 1144 nt
Organism: Homo sapiens (human)
Lineage: Eukaryota; Metazoa; Chordata; Mammalia; Primates; Hominidae
Source: Ensembl